RNAcentral lists this ribosomal RNA (585 nucleotides) under uncultured fungus. RNAcentral describes it as "eukaryotic LSU rRNA". It matches the Rfam family "Eukaryotic large subunit ribosomal RNA", at positions 1 to 586 of the family's 3401-position model. Lineage: Eukaryota; Fungi. The record is from RNAcentral.
GAUCUCAAAUCAGGUAGGGAUACCCGCUGAACUUAAGCAUAUCAAUAAGCGGAGGAAAAGAAACCAACAGGGAUUGCCUUAGUAACGGCGAGUGAAGCGGCAAAAGCUCAGAUUUGAAAUCUGGUAUCAAAUUGAUACUCGAGUUGUAAUCUGUAGAGGAGUUUUCGGAGUACGGCUUUGGUUAAAGUUCCUUGGAAAAGGGCAUCAUAGAGGGUGAGAAUCCUGUUUAUGACCAGUGUCUGUCUCCAUUAUGAACCUCCUUCAAUGAGUCGAGUUGUUUGGGAAUGCAGCUCUAAAUGGGUGGUAAAUUCCAUCUAAAGCUAAAUAUUGGCAAGAGACCGAUAGCGCACAAGUAGAGUGAUCGAAAGAUGAAAAGAACUCUGAACAGAGAGUUAAAGAGUACGUGAAAUUGUUGAAAGGGAAGCACUUGUGACCAGACAAAUUUACGGUUAAUCAGCCAUCAAUUCUUGGUGGUGCACUUAAUUGUAGAUGGGUCAGCAUCAGUUAUAGUAGUGGAACAAAGAUCAAAGGAAUGUAGCUCCUCUUUGAGGAGUGUUAUAGCCUUUGGUUCAAUACCGCUGGCCA